UACGGAGGGGGCUAGCGUUGUUCGGAAUUACUGGGCGUAAAGCGCACGUAGGCGGAUCGUUAAGUCGGGGGUGAAAUCCUGGAGCUCAACUCCAGAACUGCCUUCGAUACUGGCGAUCUCGAGUCCGGAAGAGGUGAGUGGAACUCCUAGUGUAGAGGUGGAAUUCGUAGAUAUUAGGAAGAACACCAGUGGCGAAGGCGGCUCACUGGUCCGGUACUGACGCUGAGGUGCGAAAGCGUGGGGAGCAAACAGG
This 253-nucleotide ribosomal RNA is filed under the name uncultured bacterium. RNAcentral describes it as "partial 16S ribosomal RNA". It matches the Rfam family "Bacterial small subunit ribosomal RNA", at positions 524 to 776 of the family's 1533-position model. The record is from RNAcentral.